GCUUUUGGACUCAGAUCUGAGUUAGGCAGCAGAUAACUCCCUAAACUGGGUUCUCCCUUGAGACAUUCCCUAGUGGGACCGAGGGCCAGGUCCUCACUGGCUCUAAAUGGGUUUGGUUUCACUUACAGAAGGAGCUUACUUUGAUUUACAUCACUCGAGGAUCUUGCCUCAGAUGUACUGUUGCACCAAAUGAGGAGAACCUAGCCAGCUUUGCUUUGUCUCAGUUAUUACUGGGGAGAGAGGGCGGGGUGGUGAGUAGCAGCAGACAGGAGGGUGUGUAUUGAUCUCAACUGCAUUAGAAACGAGACAAGUUCAUCAAACUAUCUAAAGACAUUAUUACCGCUGACUGGGGGCUGAUGAUAGUCACACAGCCCAAGGCAUUAAUCUUUAACACAGAUGAAGGAAAGAAGCCUAGGUUACUACUCCGGCAUCCACAAAAUAUUUUAUUGUCACAAAAAAUGCAGGAAGUGCUCUGUGCAUCCUCUGCCAAUUUUGAUGAACUCUUAGGAGGCCAGUGAUGAUAGGCCUUUAGAAUAGCAGUGUGAGAGUGCACCCUGCAGUACAACGAAGCAAUGAAGGUAGCUGGUGAAUAUAUUUCCCUUUCCCUGGAAUACAUGACUGCAUCAGGAAACCUCUGCAGCAGCAUUAAUGUGUGUUCAAGGCACAAUGCAUCAGAGGUUCAUCUUCAGGGCUGGAUAUCCAGUCUUCAUCUGCUCUGCAUUCUUUCUGAUGAGAGAAGAGGACGCGCUUUAACAGUGAAAUGUACAGAACUUGGAGGCUUAUUUCCACAAGAUGCUUAG
RNAcentral lists this long non-coding RNA (800 nucleotides) under Anser brachyrhynchus (Pink-footed goose). RNAcentral's name for it is "lncRNA (ENSABRG00000009325.1)". The record is from RNAcentral. Lineage: Eukaryota; Metazoa; Chordata; Aves; Anseriformes; Anatidae.